This 519-nucleotide unclassified non-coding RNA is filed under the name Hevea brasiliensis (rubber tree). Lineage: Eukaryota; Viridiplantae; Streptophyta; Magnoliopsida; Malpighiales; Euphorbiaceae. The record is from RNAcentral.
GGGAACUGUUCAUAUUGAUCUUUCGCUGCGGUCUAUUUCACACAAAACCCAGAAGGAGAAACUCUCUGCACACAAUGACACAGUGAAUUUUCCUGUAUUGGUGGAGAAAAUUGAGGACCUUCGUCCAAAUAUGAUGGUGCAGGCUUAUGUGAAAAAUGUAUCACCGAAAGGAUGUUUCGUAAUACUUUCGCGCAAAGUUGAUGCGAAAGUUCUCCUGUCAAACUUGUCUGAUGGCUAUGUGGAAAAUAUAGAGAAAGGAUUCCCUGUUGGUAAACUUGUCAUUGGAAGGGUGGUUUCCGUGGAGCCCUUGUCUAAGCGAGUUGAAAUCACUCUAAGGACAUCAAGUGCAGUUGGUGCUCCCAAGUCUGAUAAAGAUGCUCUAAGUAAUUUGACUGUUGGUGAUGUCAUAUCUGGUAGAAUCAAGCGAGUUGAACCAUAUGGAUUGUUUAUCACAGUUGAUCACACAAACUUGGUUGGGUUGUGCCAUGUAUCAGAAAUCUCUGACGAUCAUGUCGACAA